Molecule: ribosomal RNA, 492 nt
Filed under: uncultured bacterium
Lineage: Bacteria
Description: partial 16S ribosomal RNA
Rfam family: Bacterial small subunit ribosomal RNA
Source: RNAcentral
AGUGAACGCUGGCGGUAGGCCUAACACAUGCAAGUCGAACGGCAGCACAGUAAGAGCUUGCUCUUACGGGUGGCGAGUGGCGGACGGGUGAGGAAUACAUCGGAAUCUACUUUUUCGUGGGGGAUAACGUAGGGAAACUUACGCUAAUACCGCAUACGACCUACGGGUGAAAGCAGGGGAUCUUCGGACCUUGCGCGAUUGAAUGAGCCGAUGUCGGAUUAGCUAGUUGGCGGGGUAAAGGCCCACCAAGGCGACGAUCCGUAGCUGGUCUGAGAGGAUGAUCAGCCAAACUGGAACUGAGACACGGUCCAGACUCCUACGGGAGGCAGCAGUGGGGAAUAUUGGACAAUGGGCGCAAGCCUGAUCAAGCCAUACCGCGUGGGUGAAGAAGGCCUUCGGGUUGUAAAGCCCUUUUGUUGGGAAAGAAAAGCAGCAGGUUAAUACCCCGCUGUUCUGACGGUACCCAAAGAAUAAGCACCGGCUAACUUCGUG